GGAGAGUUGCCAGAGCGGACGAAUGGGACGGUCUCGAAAACCGUUGAGCACGCAAGUGUUCCAAGGGUUCAAAUCCCUUACUCUCCGCCA
This 90-nucleotide transfer RNA is filed under the name Candidatus Neomicrothrix sp. RNAcentral describes it as "tRNA-Ser". It matches the Rfam family "tRNA". Rfam says of the family: Transfer RNA (tRNA) molecules are approximately 80 nucleotides in length. RNAcentral also lists the same sequence under 1 other name. Lineage: Bacteria; Bacillati; Actinomycetota; Acidimicrobiia; Acidimicrobiales; Microthrixaceae. The record is from RNAcentral.